Non-coding RNA from Pelobates cultripes (western spadefoot toad), 237 nucleotides. Lineage: Eukaryota; Metazoa; Chordata; Amphibia; Anura; Pelobatidae. The record is from the annotation of a GenBank genome assembly.
GGAAAUUAUGACGUUUAGAUUGCAGUUUGGAGAUGGAUUGGGGAGGUUAGGAGAUAGGUUGAGGAGGUAGUUUGCCAAGGGUACAUGUCAGACUAGGAAGGAGUUGUGAGUAAUUGUGGCAGGCACAGACAUAGGCACUUACCUUUGUAUCCGCGGCUCCGCUCCUCACAUCAUCAACACUGUGCCAUGUCACAGUGCCGCCUAGAGCCAUGGUCCCACUGGGACCUAUGGAUGGGC